AAUGAUCCCCUCAACUCCGUGCGUCGCCACCAACAGCGAAAUAGGAGCGGGCGAGGAAGACGAGAUCGAGAGAAGGAGCUUCGCUCGUCCCACCCAGUUGUCCCGCUCGUCGAAAACCCCUACCUUUGCUCCUCAGGCGAUCGAUCCCGUCGUUGGGCCCUGCCCCCAGAUAGAGUUUUUGGUCCUUCGGCAGCUACUCAAGUGCUCGGCCUAUUGUCAGAGCUGGAAUGGAGGGCAUAAAUGAGCAUGCUUCUGAUGAUUCUUGGUGUGAUGAUGGGCUUCUGAAUGAAAUCUCAGAUGCUGACUUAAACAGAGAACAGAAGAGGCGUUAUGAUCAAUUUUAUACAGUAUCCUUGCAAUCUAUAAAUGAUAUGCAUAUCCUUUGUCCAAAACUCUUCAUAGUAAAACUUUUAGGGCUUUAAACUUGAGGAUGUAUCAUAUGGAACCCUUGACAAAAGUUUAUAUGGGUUAUCGAGAUGGUAUAUCUGCAGGAAAGGAAGCUUCUGCCCAAGAGGGCUUCAACAUUGGGUUUAAGCAAUCUGCAAGCAGUGGUUACAAAUGGGGAAUUGUUAGAGGCAUCACAAGUGCAUUUGUAAACCUCCCAGAUCAAUUCAAAGAAAAGUUAGUUAAGAAGCUUGAAGACAGAUGCACGUUUCAAAGUCUUUACAAGCCCGUUCAAGAGAUUUCCACGGACGAUGCUCUGAGAAUGUAUCACUUUCAACUACAACAAGAAAAUAAACAAUCUCAUCAAAGAUCAAAAGCGACAGUAUCAUCGGCAAUCGAAGAUUUUGACUGCAAUAAGUUAGACUUCUUUUUCAAGGAGCUUAUGUUACUUGUAAGUGAGUCUUCUGAAAUCAAAGCAAGUGUUGAUGUUGUAAAAGGAGAGGAAGAAGAAUGACCUUGAUGUUGAAGUACUUGGAGGGAUCGUUCAAAUUCACUUACGUCUGAAUUUUCUGGACAGAUUGUAAUUUUUUGAUGGCCUCAGAUUGCAAUGAAAAGAACUGAACCAUUGCUCCA
This is a long non-coding RNA of Musa acuminata AAA Group (dessert banana), 1017 nucleotides long. RefSeq lists it as uncharacterized. Lineage: Eukaryota; Viridiplantae; Streptophyta; Magnoliopsida; Zingiberales; Musaceae. The record is from RefSeq and is a predicted model, not a curated record. The transcript has 4 exons.